Long non-coding RNA from Cygnus olor (mute swan), 1195 nucleotides. RefSeq lists it as uncharacterized. The transcript is spliced from 3 exons. The record is from RefSeq and is a predicted model, not a curated record. Lineage: Eukaryota; Metazoa; Chordata; Aves; Anseriformes; Anatidae.
CACAUUUUCCAUAUCCCAUCUCUUUCUUGCACAAUUUGCACAUGAAAACAUUUGCUUAAAAAUCUAACUGGGGAGACAGAGAGAGAAAAAUUAUUUAAUAUCCAAAUUAUGCCUGUGCAAUUUUGUUAUGUGACUGUCUUCUCUAAUCUAUCACAUGAUUUUUGAAAAAGGAAGUUGUGUCUGGUCUUAAUAUGAGACCAUGAUCAAUUUAUGGACUGUAGGUAUUGAUUUCUGUAGAUACAAAUGUGCACACAGUUCUCAAACAUGGUGAUGAAAUUCAUUAAUUUACUUUCUGUUAUUUGUAUCACCAAAUACUUUCUAACAACCAUCCAAUUUUUGCCGCCUCUCUGAUUUAUUAUAUUCAGUACAAAAGAUUAUAAAUGGGACUGUUACCUGGAUUAGAAAUCUUCCUUAAAACUGAUCAUUCAAUGUUCUAAAUACUUAUUGUUUUGACAUAUGUCUUGGAGACUGCAUAUAACAGAUAUACACAGUAUUUAAAAAUAAGUGUGACUUCAGACCACAAAGACUUCCUACUGAAUGACUUAACUUUGGGUAUGAUAGUGAAAACCCUGCCCUAACAUUGCAGUCGCUGCAGCUUCUGAAGCUGGAAUUCAUUACACUGCAAGGGGAUUGGCCAGUUCUCACUCCUAAGAAUAUCCCUGGGAAAGAUGAACUCUGCUAUGUAAAAAGGAAAUUAAGAGACAGUUUGCCUGGUAAAAAAGACACGCUAGUUAUAGCACUGUCAAAAUAAGUGCAGUAUUUCCUAUGAGAGAUGUCAAACAUUUCAUCUUCCAAAAGAGUAUACUGUGCAAAAAUGCUAAGCAAGAUGGUGGAGAGAUUGUAGUCAAACUAUCCACAUCCUUUUGAUGAACAGGUUAUUUUCAUUGGUGCACCUGGACAAGAGGCAAUGGGCAAAAACUGGAGCAUAGGAGGUUCCAUCCAUUCAGCAGGAAAUACUUUACUGUUCAGGUGAUUGAGCACUGGCCCAGGUUGCCCAAAGAGGUUGUGGUGUCUCUUUCCUCACAGACCUUCAAAGCUGUCUGGACACGGUCCUGGGUAAUCUGCUCCAGUUGUGCAGUGGGUUUACGUGGCAAGGUUUUGGUAGCAGGGGGCCAUAGGGGUGGCUUCUGUGAGAAGGAUCUAGAAGCUGCCCCAUGUUUGGUAAGGGCCCUACUGCUGACCAGAGCUGAGCCAA